Molecule: ribosomal RNA, 374 nt
Filed under: uncultured Glomeromycotina
Lineage: Eukaryota; Fungi; Glomeromycota
Description: LSU rRNA
Source: RNAcentral
UUGAAAGGGAAACGAUUGAAGUCAGUCGUACCUGUGGGUAAUCAGCCUUUUGGGUGUGAUUUUGUGGAGUGUGAGGAGUUAAACGCCUUCAUGCCUGCAUAUUCGUGCACUUUGGGUGUAUUUACCCGUGUGGUAAGUUAACAUCAAUUUCGGUGGUCAUAAAAUGGCUGGAGGAAUGUAGCUUCGAUCUUGUAUUGAAGUGUUAUAGCCUUCGGUAGAUGUGAUGAUCGGGAUUGAGGAUUGCAACGGAUACCCUUCGGGGCUACCUGUCUGAUCUCUGAUCGUUGCUCUGGUGCCGAAAGCUUGCUUACGGUUAUCAAAGUCGAUGGUCAAUAGGUUAGAACGUGUAUAAAUUCGUUAAGGAUGUUGACGUA